CACGUAGGUGGGUCGUUAAGUCGGGGUGAAAUCCUGGAGCUCAACUCCAGAACUGCCUUCGAUACUGGCGAUCUUCGAGUUCGGGAGAGGUGAGUGGAACUGCGAGUGUAGAGGUGAAAUUCGUAGAUAUUCGCAAGAACACCAGUGGCGAAGGCGGCUCACUGGCCCGAUACUGACACUGAGGUGCGAAAGCGUGGGAGCAAACA
This 206-nucleotide ribosomal RNA is filed under the name uncultured bacterium. RNAcentral's name for it is "partial 16S ribosomal RNA". It matches the Rfam family "Bacterial small subunit ribosomal RNA", at positions 568 to 774 of the family's 1533-position model. The record is from RNAcentral.